Long non-coding RNA from Magnolia sinica, 304 nucleotides. RefSeq lists it as uncharacterized. NCBI's taxonomy places the organism in Eukaryota, Viridiplantae, Streptophyta, Magnoliopsida, Magnoliales, Magnoliaceae. The record is from RefSeq and is a predicted model, not a curated record. The transcript is spliced from 2 exons.
GCGGGGAUUUUGAUGUCUACAGUUGACAUGAAGGAUGAAUCCAAGGGCCGUCUCAUUCCAAAAGCGAAGAUUGAGGUAUUGCUGGGGAAGACUGAGAAAUUUGAUGAUCUGAUGGUUGUCAUUGCUGCCAAAGGGAGGCAGUUGGAGACAACAAAGCAUGAUGGCAAACCAUAGCUCUGGAGUUCCAUCAUAUUCUGAUUUUCAUUUCUUUUUUCCUCCUGGUGUCCUGUUUAAGUGAUAGAGGUUAGGGAAUUUUCAAGUAGAGCUGCUGCUGUCAUUAACUGCAAGGAGCAGGGUUGAGAGA